GUCAACCGCAGUACCGGCAGCGGCGGAAAGACCGAGUGUUGAGGUGUUAAGCGGCAGGACUGGGCGUAAUUAGCGCGUAGGGUGCGUGGUAAGUGGGAGGUGAAAGCCCCGGGCUUAACUUGGGGAUGUCAUUCAAUACUGGCGUGCGAGAUUGUGGGAGAGGAAAGCGGAAUGCCAGGUGUAGCGGUGAAAGGCGUAGAUAUCUGGCGGAACAUCAAUGGCGAAUGCGGCUUUCUGGCCCAACACUGACGCUGAGGUGCGAAAGCGUGGGGAGCAAACAGGAUUAGAUACCCUUGAGUC
This 300-nucleotide ribosomal RNA is filed under the name uncultured Pyrobaculum sp. Its description in RNAcentral is "bacterial SSU rRNA". It matches the Rfam family "Bacterial small subunit ribosomal RNA", at positions 495 to 795 of the family's 1533-position model. Lineage: Archaea; Thermoproteati; Thermoproteota; Thermoprotei; Thermoproteales; Thermoproteaceae. The record is from RNAcentral.